ACGAACGCUGGCGGCAGGCUUAAUACAUGCAAGUCGAACGGCUGUAGCAAUACAGCAGUGGCAGACGGGUGAGUAACACGUGGGAACCUACCUAGGGGUACGGAAUAACUCAGGGAAACUUGAGCUAAUACCGUAUACGACCUUCGGGUGAAAGAUUUAUCGCCCCUAGAUGGGCCCGCGUUGGAUUAGCUAGUUGGUGGGGUAAAGGCUCACCAAGGCGACGAUCCAUAGCUGGUCUGAGAGGAUGAUCAGCCACACUGGGACUGAGACACGGCCCAGACUCCUACGGGAGGCAGCAGUAGGGAAUCUUGGACAAUGGGCGAAAGCCUGAUCCAGCCAUGCCGCGUGAGUGAUGAAGGCCUUAGGGUUGUAAAGCUCUUUCGCCAGGGAAGAUAAUGACGGUACCUGGAUAAGAAGCCCCGGCUAACUCCGU
RNAcentral lists this ribosomal RNA (433 nucleotides) under uncultured bacterium. RNAcentral's name for it is "bacterial SSU rRNA". It matches the Rfam family "Bacterial small subunit ribosomal RNA", at positions 29 to 506 of the family's 1533-position model. The record is from RNAcentral.